GGGGCGCCGGGGGCGGUGUCCAGGCUCGGCUUUGAGCCCGGCGGCCGCGCCGAGCUGAGGUCAGCAGGACCACAACAACAGGCAAAAUGACAGCUGUGAGAUUUGAGCAAGGGACCCCGCCAAGAGAGUCAUCUGGAUCUCCAACAGCUGAAGAGGCCACAGUAAAGAUCGAUAAUGGUCAUGAUGAGGGUAAUGGACCAGACACCUGUCCCAAGUAAGCUAAUGAUAUACAGAAUUUCUUUGCUUACCCCCAGAAGUGGAAUCUGAUGAGCCAAAAUAAGAAG
This 284-nucleotide long non-coding RNA is filed under the name Lonchura striata (white-rumped munia). Its description in RNAcentral is "domestica (Bengalese finch) lncRNA (ENSLSDG00000011722.1)". Lineage: Eukaryota; Metazoa; Chordata; Aves; Passeriformes; Estrildidae. The record is from RNAcentral.